RNAcentral lists this long non-coding RNA (330 nucleotides) under Elaeis guineensis (African oil palm). Its description in RNAcentral is "long non-coding RNA (EGUI_LNC079348)". Lineage: Eukaryota; Viridiplantae; Streptophyta; Magnoliopsida; Arecales; Arecaceae. The record is from RNAcentral.
UUGAACCAAGGACAGCACUCCUUCUUCACCUUACUUCAAGAGUUCUAGUCACUAAAACUUGACUAGCUUCAUACCGAUUAGGUUUCUCUAAGAAACUGACUUCAUCCUCUCAGAACCUCCUUUGAACUUCUGAUCUUUUUUCUUUAGGACCCUCAUAACCCUUGUUAGGACCAGAUAAGGCUUUGUCUUAAAUCCCAAAGCCUUAUCCUAAAAUUAAGAUAGGUUGUAAGAAAGAAAAGAGAGCAACAGAGAUAAAAUUGAAAACUCUUUCUGAAUACCUCAGACAUCCAGUGCCCCAGCCAAAUUGAGCUAGCAAAUGAGCAAGGCAUG